GACGAACGCUGGCGGCGUGCUUAACACAUGCAAGUCGAACGGAAAGGCCCUGCUUUUGUGGGGUGCUCGAGUGGCGAACGGGUGAGUAACACGUGAGUAACCUGCCCUUGACUUUGGGAUAACCUCAGGAAACUGGGGCUAAUACCGGAUAGGAGCUCCUGCUGCAUGGUGGGGGUUGGAAAGUUUCGGCGGUUGGGGAUGGACUCGCGGCUUAUCAGCUUGUUGGUGGGGUAGUGGCUUACCAAGGCUUUGACGGGUAGCCGGCCUGAGAGGGUGACCGGCCACAUUGGGACUGAGAUACGGCCCAGACUCCUACGGGAGGCAGCAGUGGGGAAUAUUGCACAAUGGGCGGAAGCCUGAUGCAGCAACGCCGCGUGCGGGAUGACGGCCUUCGGGUUGUAAACCGCUUUCGCCUGUGACGAAGCGUGAGUGACGGUAAUGGGUAAAGAAGCACCGGCUAACUACGUGCCAGCAGCCGCGGUGAUACGUAGGGUGCGAGCGUUGUCCGGAUUUAUUGGGCGUAAAGGGCUCGUAGGUGGUUGAUCGCGUCGGAAGUGUAAUCUUGGGGCUUAACCCUGAGCGUGCUUUCGAUACGGGUUGACUUGAGGAAGGUAGGGGAGAAUGGAAUUCCUGGUGGAGCGGUGGAAUGCGCAGAUAUCAGGAGGAACACCAGUGGCGAAGGCGGUUCUCUGGGCCUUUCCUGACGCUGAGGAGCGAAAGCGUGGGGAGCGAACAGGCUUAGAUACCCUGGUAGUCCACACUGUAAACGGUGGGUACUAGGUGUGGGGUCCAUUCCACGGGUUCCGUGCCGUAGCUAACGCUUUAAGUACCCCGCCUGGGGAGUACGGCCGCAAGGCUAAAACUCAAAGGAAUUGACGGGGCCCCGCACAAGCGGCGGAGCAUGCGGAUUAAUUCGAUGCAACGCGUAGAACCUUACCUGGGUUUGACAUGGAUCGGGAGUGCUCAGAGAUGGGUGUGCCUCUUUUGGGGUCGGUUCACAGGUGGUGCAUGGCUGUCGUCAGCUCGUGUCGUGAGAUGUUGGGUUAAGUCCCGCAACGAGCGCAACCCUUGUUCACUGUUGCCAGCACGUUAUGGUGGGGACUCAGUGGAGACCGCCGGGGUCAACUCGGAGGAAGGUGGGGAUGACGUCAAGUCAUCAUGCCCCUUAUGUCCAGGGCUUCACGCAUGCUACAAUGGCUGGUACAGAGAGUGGCGAGCCUGUGAGGGUGAGCGAAUCUCGGAAAGCCGGUCUCAGUUCGGAUUGGGGUCUGCAACUCGACCCCAUGAAGUCGGAGUCGCUAGUAAUCGCAGAUCAGCAACGCUGCGGUGAAUACGUUCCCGGG
RNAcentral lists this ribosomal RNA (1343 nucleotides) under uncultured bacterium. RNAcentral describes it as "16S ribosomal RNA". It matches the Rfam family "Bacterial small subunit ribosomal RNA", at positions 28 to 1378 of the family's 1533-position model. The record is from RNAcentral.